Molecule: ribosomal RNA, 512 nt
Filed under: uncultured bacterium
Lineage: Bacteria
Description: bacterial SSU rRNA
Rfam family: Bacterial small subunit ribosomal RNA
Source: RNAcentral
GACGAACGCUGGCGGCGUGCUUAACACAUGCAAGUGGAGCGACGAACCAGGGCUUGCCCUGGGGCAGAGCCGCGAACGGGUGAGUAACACGUGGGUAACCUACCCCAAUGACCGGGACAACCCGAGGAAACUCGGGCUAAUACCGGAUGUUCUGCACUCUCGUAAGGGAGUUCAGCAAAGAUAGCCUCGGCUUUCGCAUUGGGACGGGCCCGCGGCCCAUUAGCUUGUUGGUGAGGUAACGGCUCACCAAGGCUUCGAUGGGUAGCUGGUCUGAGAGGACGAUCAGCCACACUGGGACUGAGACACGGCCCAGACUCCUACGGGAGGCAGCAGUGGGGAAUCUUGCGCAAUGGGCGAAAGCCUGACGCAGCAACGCCGCGUGGGGGAAGAAGGCCUUCGGGUUGUAAACCCCUUUCAGUUGGGACGAAGCUUCCAGGGUUAAUAGCUCUGUGGAGUGACGGUACCUUCAGAAGAAGCCCCGGCUAACUACGUGCCAGCCGCCGCCGUAACAC